RNAcentral lists this ribosomal RNA (253 nucleotides) under uncultured bacterium. RNAcentral's name for it is "partial 16S ribosomal RNA". It matches the Rfam family "Bacterial small subunit ribosomal RNA", at positions 524 to 776 of the family's 1533-position model. The record is from RNAcentral.
UACGUAGGUGGCAAGCGUUGUCCGGAUUUACUGGGCGUAAAGAGCGCGCAGGCGGUCGUCCAAGUCGCGUGUGAAAGCCCCCGGCUCAACUGGGGAGGGUCAUUCGAUACUGAUCGACUCGAAGGCAGGAGAGGGAAGCGGAAUUCCCGGUGUAGUGGUGAAAUGCGUAGAUAUCGGGAGGAACACCAGUGGCGAAGGCGGCUUCCUGGCCUGUUCUUGACGCUGAGGCGCGAAAGCUAGGGGAGCAAACGGG